This 1472-nucleotide ribosomal RNA is filed under the name Triticum aestivum (bread wheat). RNAcentral's name for it is "partial small subunit ribosomal RNA". Lineage: Eukaryota; Viridiplantae; Streptophyta; Magnoliopsida; Poales; Poaceae. The record is from RNAcentral.
GGAAGGGCGGGGCCGGGGGAGGGCUAGGUCAGGAGAGGGGUGGUGGCUGGAGCGCCAGGAGGAGUGGGUGGCGGCGGCUGGAGUAGGGAGGGAGGCGAGUGGUAGAGAGGGAUGGGUGCGUCAUCCCAAGGUAGGGAGAGGAGGAAGGAGGGGCGAAGGGGAGGGCCGGGGCUGGAAGGACGGUGCGGCGGAGUGGCGGUGGGCAGCGGAGUAGGAGAGGUGAGGGGGCGUGCGGCCAUCGGGCGCGGAGACUCUGGGCCGCGGCCGCGGCCACCUCCUCCAGCGCCGGCGUCGGCACCUCCUCAUGCUCCGCGUAGGUGACGGUAGCCCUGCUCUAUCUCGUUCAGCUGACCCAGCAGAGGCGGUACUUGCUGUUCCGCUGGGCUUUGUCGCGUGUACAGUCGAGAGGCAGACUCGUUCCCUCGGCAGGUCAGCGGCGGCGGUCCCACGGCGACGACCAGUCAUACGCACGGUGGCCUUGUCCAGCCCCUCGAAGGCCAACCACACACACGGAGGAAGGAAGUCGUGUUCGUCGUCCGGGUCCCGUAAUCGUGGUAGGGUUGCUUUAACUACCUGGUUCAUUGGUCGACGGUUCAAGAAGUUCCAAGCACUUCUCUCGACUAGACCAAAACACUUCCUUCCCGCUCUUUCUAAUACACCCCUAGUCUAACAGGUACCGCUGAAUCCUCCUCGUCGUGGUAGAGUCCAACGAGGCUAGACCAACACACUUCCUUGUACGUUCCAGACGAUGAGGACAACACGAGGGAACUUGCUAGACCACUUCCUGUUAAAAGGUAACCAGCAGGGGGGUACGAUAGAGAGAGACGACGUAUCAAUCCAUAUACGCUCAGGCCGUCACGCCACCGUCAGGGGCACCUUGCUCGCGACCUGAUGAGGGAACCGGUCCGCAUGGACACGUUCGUGCUUACCUCGCUUCUAAUGACAACCACAACGGUCGGUUCAAGAGGUCGGGCACCACUUGGCUCCGAUAGAGUUCACGAAGCAACCAACCCAACGCAAGAAACGACGACCAGAGUACUUACCCAUUCCCGUUCCUCCUCCGUUGUGCAACCUUCGACCUCCUGGGUCCCUACCUAUUAUACACAACCAGAGCGGUAGAUGGACAGGGAAAACAACUAUUUAGGUAACGCGUUACCCACUGGCACCUUCCCUACCUUCAAGUAUAACAACAAACAUUACUUCCAGUAUCGGAUUAGGACUGAUACCAGUAGAUCACUCAUACCGUAUACCAAGUAUACUGUCCUCGUACACGGGUCAAACACUAGCGAUAACUGUCCUCGAGGUAAGACUUCUUCUAACUUCUGUUAACACCUCAACAUUUAAUGACAUCGGUCGAUAGUGUGAACAUCUCGAACAUUAUAACACUAAGGUUAACAUAAUGCACAAUAACCAUCUCGUUCUCGAGGUAUGACUAAGACCGACAAUAAUAAACUUCAUAAUGUACACAAAAG